UACAGAGGAGCCAAGCGUUGUCCGGAUUGACUGGGCGUAAAGCGCACGCAGGCGGGGGUGCGCGUGGGGUGUGAAAUCUGGCCGCUUAACGGCCAGGCGCCAUCCCAUACGGCACGCCUGGAGCCUUGCAGAGGUCGGUGGAAUUGCCGGUGUAGUGGUGAAAUGCGUAGAGAUCGGCAGGAACACCCAGGGGGAAGCCAGCCGACUGGGCAAGUGCUGACGCUGAGGUGCGAGAGCGUGGGGAGCGAACCGG
RNAcentral lists this ribosomal RNA (253 nucleotides) under uncultured bacterium. Its description in RNAcentral is "partial 16S ribosomal RNA". It matches the Rfam family "Bacterial small subunit ribosomal RNA", at positions 524 to 776 of the family's 1533-position model. The record is from RNAcentral.